GCUCUCGUAGCUCAAUGGAUAGAGCAAAUCCGUCCUAAGGAUGAGAUGUAGGUUCGAUUCCUAUCGAGAGCA
RNAcentral lists this transfer RNA (72 nucleotides) under bacterium. RNAcentral's name for it is "tRNA-Arg". It matches the Rfam family "tRNA". Rfam says of the family: Transfer RNA (tRNA) molecules are approximately 80 nucleotides in length. The record is from RNAcentral. RNAcentral also lists the same sequence under 1 other name.